Molecule: ribosomal RNA, 337 nt
Filed under: uncultured low G+C Gram-positive bacterium 12ev
Lineage: Bacteria; Bacillati; Bacillota
Description: bacterial SSU rRNA
Rfam family: Bacterial small subunit ribosomal RNA
Source: RNAcentral
GAGUUUGAUCCUGGCUCAGGAUGAACGCUGGCGGCGUGCCUAACACAUGCAAGUCGAGCGCGAUUAAAUGGAUUAGAGAGCUUGCUCAAAGAGACAUUUAUGAAAGCGGCGGACGGGUGAGUAACGCGUGGGCAACCUGCCCUGUGCAGAGGGAUAGCCACUGGAAACGGUGAUUAAUACCUCAUGGAGCUAUUGAACCGCAUGGUUUAAUGGUGAAAGUUCCGGCGGCACAGGAUGGGCCCGCGUCUGAUUAGCUAGUUGGUGAGGUAACGGCUCACCAAGGCGACGAUCAGUAGCCGACCUGAGAGGGUGAACGGCCACACUGGAACUGAGACAC